Molecule: ribosomal RNA, 898 nt
Filed under: uncultured archaeon
Lineage: Archaea
Description: bacterial SSU rRNA
Rfam family: Archaeal small subunit ribosomal RNA
Source: RNAcentral
CUCCGGUUGAUCCUGCCGGACCCGACUGCUAUCGGAUUGAGAUUUAGCCAUGCGAGUCGAACGUCCCCCUGUUGCGGGGGGCGUGGCGUACGGCUCAGUAACACGUAGUCAACCUGCCCUGGAGACAAGGACAACCCCGGGAAACUGGGAUUAAUCCUUGAUAGGUCAUCUCAUCUGGAAGGAGAGAUGGCUUAAAGGGGUACGCGGGCUUCUUCCGCGAAUCUGCUCCAGGAUGGGACUGCGUCCGAUCAGGCUGUUGGCGGGGUAAUGGCCCACCAAACCUGUAACCGGUACGGGCCUUGAGAGAGGUGGCCCGGAGAUGGACACUGAGAGAAGGGUCCAGGUCCUAUGGGGCGCAGCAGGCGCGAAACCUCUGCAAUAGGCGAAAGCUUGACAGGGUUACUCUGAGUGAUUUCCGUUAAGGAAAUCUUUUGGCACCUCUAAAAAUGGUGCAGAAUAAGGGGUGGGCAAGUCUGGUGUCAGCCGCCGCGGUAAUACCAGCACCCCGAGUGGUCGGGACGUUUAUUGGGCCUAAAGCAUCCGUAGCCGGUUCUACAAGUCUUCCGUUAAAUCCAACUGCUUAACAGGUGGGCUGCGGAAGAUACUAUAGAUCUAGGAGGCGGGAGAGGCAAGCGGUACUCGAUGGAUAGGGGUAAAAUCCGUUGAUCCAUUGAAGACCACCAGUGGCGAAGGCGGCUUGCCAGAACGCGCUCGACGGUGAGGGAUGAAAGCUGGGGGAGCAAACCGGAUUAGAUACCCGGGUAGUCCCAGCUGUAAACGAUGCAGACUCGGUGAUGAGUUGGCUAUAUGCCAUCUCAGUGCCGCAGGGAAGCCGUUAAGUUUGCCGCCUGGGAAGUACGGACGCAAGUCUGAAACUUAAAGGAUUGGCGGGGGAGCA